CGUCGCCCCCGAUGCUGCAGAUCGGGCCCACAGGGUAUUCAACAACAAGGCGGAGCGGGUGAAGCAAGAGCUGUGGGAUUUCUUUAGAUGCCAGGACGGACAUGAGGCCAGGGCGGAUGCGGUGGCUACCAAAUGCUGCAAAAAACUCGUCGUGGACAUGCAUUACGAGGCGCGCAUCCAGGCCGUCGUAACUUACCACGGGACCGUCGUUGGAACGAAGGUCACCAAAAGGGACGCAAGAACCAUGACGCUGACCCGGGACCAGUACCUGCAGAUGAUUCCUUAUUGGUGCGCCGCGCAUCCCCAGUGCUGGGAACAGAUGGUGGACAAGUGGUGC
This is a long non-coding RNA of Phragmites australis (common reed), 337 nucleotides long. RefSeq lists it as uncharacterized. The transcript has 3 exons. Lineage: Eukaryota; Viridiplantae; Streptophyta; Magnoliopsida; Poales; Poaceae. The record is from RefSeq and is a predicted model, not a curated record.